GGGGAAUUCUCCGCAAUGGGCGCAAGCCUGACGGAGCAACGCCGCGUGAGGGAGGAAGGCCUGUGGGUUGUAAACCUCUUUUCUCAAGGAAGAACACAAUGACGGUACUUGAGGAAUCAGCAUCGGCUAACUCCGNNNNNGCAGCCGCGGUAAGACGGAGGAUGCAAGCGUUAUCCGGAAUUAUUGGGCGUAAAGCGUCCGUAGGUGGUUAUAAAAGUCUGUUGUUAAAGCCCACAGCUCAACUGUGGAUCGGCAAUGGAAACUGUAUGACUUGAGUGUGGUAGGGGUAGAGGGAAUUCCUAGUGUAGCGGUGAAAUGCGUAGAUAUUAGGNANAACACCAGUGGCGAAGGCGCUCUACUGGGCCAUAACUGACACUGAUGGACGAAAGCUAGGGGAGCGAAAGGGAU
Molecule: ribosomal RNA, 408 nt
Filed under: uncultured cyanobacterium
Lineage: Bacteria; Bacillati; Cyanobacteriota
Description: bacterial SSU rRNA
Rfam family: Bacterial small subunit ribosomal RNA
Source: RNAcentral